UACAGAGGGUGCGAGCGUUGUCCGGAAUCACUGGGCGUAAAGGGCGCGUAGGUGGCGACCCAAGUCGAUGGUGAAAGCUCGCCGCUCAACGGCGAGUCGGCCACCGAUACUGGGUUGCUUGAGCACUGUAGAGGCUAAUGGAAUUCCGGGUGUAGCGGUGGAAUGCGUAGAGAUCCGGAAGAACACCGGUGGCGAAGGCGGUUAGCUGGGCAGUUGCUGACACUGAGGCGCGACAGCGUGGGAGCAAACAGG
Molecule: ribosomal RNA, 252 nt
Filed under: uncultured bacterium
Lineage: Bacteria
Description: partial 16S ribosomal RNA
Rfam family: Bacterial small subunit ribosomal RNA
Source: RNAcentral